RNAcentral lists this transfer RNA (87 nucleotides) under Comamonas serinivorans. RNAcentral's name for it is "tRNA-Leu". It matches the Rfam family "tRNA". Rfam says of the family: Transfer RNA (tRNA) molecules are approximately 80 nucleotides in length. Their secondary structure includes four short double-helical elements and three loops (D, anti-codon, and T loops). Further hydrogen bonds mediate the characteristic L-shaped molecular structure. tRNAs have two regions of fundamental functional importance: the anti-codon, which is responsible for specific mRNA codon recognition, and the 3' end, to which the tRNAs corresponding amino acid is attached (by aminoacyl-tRNA synthetases). tRNAs cope with the degeneracy of the genetic code in two manners: having more than one tRNA (with a specific anti-codon) for a particular amino acid; and 'wobble' base-pairing, i.e. permitting non-standard base-pairing at the 3rd anti-codon position. The record is from RNAcentral. Lineage: Bacteria; Pseudomonadati; Pseudomonadota; Betaproteobacteria; Burkholderiales; Comamonadaceae.
GCCCGGGUGGCGGAAUUGGUAGACGCAGCAGACUUAAAAUUUGCCAGCUUUCCAGCUGUACGGGUUCGAUUCCCGUCCCGGGCACCA